CAUCAAGACCCUUUCUUUAAAGUGCAAGUAUUUUGAUAUCUAACUGGAUGUCUCAAUUAACAGAAGAGUCACGUCUAGGAAGGAUGUUUGAAAUGUUACAUUAGGAGGCUGACAGCUGUUACUUCCUGAGGUUUGGAGGUGAGAAUUAUUGACACAACCCCAGUAUCAUGGAGCACUCCUCUCUGCAAGUGUAAACCGCUGUGUGUUGUUUGAAGAACACUGCACGUGCUAUCUUCCUCAGUACUAUUCUGUUUUUCUCAUCUCUGGGAUUCAAAGAAAUUGUGUAUACAGCAAAGAAACCUCAACUGGGAUGAAAUGGAGCUGGAUGACAGAGGACCUAGUGUUUGGGUUUCUUGGAAGAGCCUUAACUGGGACAUUGGUCAGGAAAUGUUACCAAUGCUAUUUGUCAUGCUAAAAGGAGAUGUGACCAAAUAGAAAGGACUGUGGGGACCACGAAAGGAGAGUAAAUAGGCUCUGGCUGGUUCUGAAUUCUGGGAUCUCAUUAACAGUCAUCAGGAGCAGACAAGCUGGUCGUGUUCUGGGGCAUUCCAAUUUGUGCCACAGAAAGGCUCUCAGAGAAAAGUGCCACUUAAGCCUUCCUGUCAUGCCUGGGAGUGUCAGAAAGUUGUUUGGUAUGACUCAAAGCCUGAUUAUAGUUUGGCUUGUAUAACCACCAUCUGCCUGCAUGAUUUAUCUCAGCCUUUUUAACAGUAUGGUUUUAGUUAUAGCAUUGGGAGUUUUUAGGUGUGAUAAAUGGUAAGAGUAAAUUACCCCUUUAGAUGAAGAAGCAUAUGUUAUGAAGAUUAGCAUUAUCAAGCAGUUUAUAAUGUAUUUUGUUCUUAAGGGAAAAUUUUAUGGAAAUUUGAAUCAUCAAUUACAAUGAAUCUGAAGUACCACCAAGAGUUGCUUCACUCCCCCAUCUUUCUAAAUUAAUUAGUGCUGUCCUCAUUUUCAGUAGAACUGAGUGGCUGCCUUUUGUUCGGCUUGCCUAACAAUGCAAUUGCAGACCAAACUAGUGCCUGGAAGAAUUCACAUAGCUGCUUGAAAAUUCAGUAACGUUGCAGGACGUUGGACAGAAAACCCAAGAUGUCUGGGACUAUCAGGAAAGUUGUCAAAAAAAUGUAACAGAAGAUUAUGGCCUAAUCUGCAGCCUGUUUUUCUUAGCGUGGUGCCUCUUCAACAUCUCCUAAUCUAUUCCUCUUUUGCUUUCACUUAUAUCCCUCCAACUGCCUCAGAGAAACACACUUAUGUAUACAUAAAUGUGCUUUAAUAUUCAUACAUCUAACAUAUUUAUCCCUUCUUCAGUCUUCCUCCUUUAUGAAAAAAAUAGAACAAGCUUUAGGAAUCAGAUGACUAUAAUGUUGUUUUUCGAAUGAUUUUAAACUUAUUACUUGACAAUUAUGCUUCAUUAGUAGUUCAGAAAACUAGCAAUUUCACAUGUAAGAAGUUAAUUUCUUAGGUUAACAAAGAUUAUACAAGGCACAGGGAAUGCAAAGAAGCUAAAUAAACACUUGUUGUUUCUUUAUUGUUGUUGUUGGUUAUAAUUCCCUCUAAGCUGUAAGCCCUAUGAAGAUGGAAAUUGUGUCUGAUUUUUCCACCAUUAUAUUGUCAACACUUAAAACAAUGUCCAGUGUAUAGAAAGUGCUCAAUAAACAUGUGCAAAGUGAAUGAUCUCGUUGAAC
This 1682-nucleotide long non-coding RNA is filed under the name Pan troglodytes (chimpanzee). Its description in RNAcentral is "lncRNA (ENSPTRG00000054636.1)". Lineage: Eukaryota; Metazoa; Chordata; Mammalia; Primates; Hominidae. The record is from RNAcentral.